ACUAAAGUAGCUCAAAUUAGAGUUUUACAUUGAAGCUGUAAAGGUGGCUAUUGCCCUUUGGUA
Molecule: transfer RNA, 63 nt
Filed under: Octolasmis warwickii
Lineage: Eukaryota; Metazoa; Arthropoda; Thecostraca; Poecilasmatidae
Also listed under: 1 other name
Description: tRNA-Phe
Source: RNAcentral